GAAGUAAAAAUCGUAACAAGGUCUCCGUUGGUGAACCAGCGGAGGGAUCAUUACCGAGUUUACAACUCCCAAACCCCUGUGAACAUACCACUUGUUGCCUCGGCGGAUCAGCCCGCUCCCGGUAAAACGGGACGGCCCGCCAGAGGACCCCUAAACUCUGUUUCUAUAUGUAACUUCUGAGUAAAACCAUAAAUAAAUCAAAACUUUCAACAACGGAUCUCUUGGUUCUGGCAUCGAUGAAGAACGCAGCAAAAUGCGAUAAGUAAUGUGAAUUGCAGAAUUCAGUGAAUCAUCGAAUCUUUGAACGCACAUUGCGCCCGCCAGUAUUCUGGCGGGCAUGCCUGUUCGAGCGUCAUUUCAACCCUCAAGCACAGCUUGGUGUUGGGACUCGCGUUAAUUCGCGUUCCCCAAAUUGAUUGGCGGUCACGUCGAGCUUCCAUAGCGUAGUAGUAAAACCCUCGUUACUGGUAAUCGUCGCGGCCACGCCGUUAAACCCCAACUUCUGAAUGUUGACCUCGGAUCAGGUAGGAAUACCCGCUGAACUUAAGCAUAUCA
RNAcentral lists this ribosomal RNA (555 nucleotides) under Fusarium oxysporum. Its description in RNAcentral is "eukaryotic LSU rRNA". The stretch from base 202 to 355 matches the Rfam family "5.8S ribosomal RNA". Lineage: Eukaryota; Fungi; Ascomycota; Sordariomycetes; Hypocreales; Nectriaceae. The record is from RNAcentral.